AAUUUUAUUUUAUAGUUUACAAUUGUUAUUAAGUAACGUCCUGCCAAACCCGUCCCGCCAACCCGUCCUCUAAAAAAAACUCAUUUAUUUUAUUAAUGUUGAUCUUAUUUAUGAUAUGUUUAUGAAUUAUUGUCUAAAUAUUUUGUAAUUUUGUAGUAAUUAAAUGCUAUCAAAUAUCUCUACGGUUUGAUGAUUAUAAUCAUGUAGAAAAGCAAUAUCAAAAAUGAUAAUUUUGUAGUAAUUAAAUAAUAUUAAAUAUUUUGGAAGUUUUAUUUUAGUAAUUAAUCGUGAAGUUAAGGUAGAGAGAUUUUGGGAAAAUUGUUAAAUGUCAAAUAUUUAAUUAGAAGAUUUUCUUUCUAAUUAUCAAAAACAAUUAUUAAAUGUCAGUGGCAGCCGCUGUAAAUAAAUCUCAAAUCUAGAAUUUAUUUCACAAAGUGACUGCAAAAAUGUAUAUAUAGAUGUCAUAUCAUAACCAAAAUUAAAAUUAUAAAU
RNAcentral lists this small RNA (492 nucleotides) under Arabidopsis thaliana (thale cress). Its description in RNAcentral is "ATSL145010". The record is from RNAcentral. Lineage: Eukaryota; Viridiplantae; Streptophyta; Magnoliopsida; Brassicales; Brassicaceae.